This 65-nucleotide transfer RNA is filed under the name Dipodomys ordii (Ord's kangaroo rat). It matches the Rfam family "tRNA". From Rfam's summary of the family: Transfer RNA (tRNA) molecules are approximately 80 nucleotides in length. Their secondary structure includes four short double-helical elements and three loops (D, anti-codon, and T loops). Lineage: Eukaryota; Metazoa; Chordata; Mammalia; Rodentia; Heteromyidae. The record is from Rfam by way of RNAcentral.
GGUGGCUUAGUGGUAGAGCGCAUGCCUUGCAUGCAUGAGACCCUGGGUUCGAUUCCCCAGCACCA